This 8833-nucleotide long non-coding RNA is filed under the name Malus domestica (apple). Its description in RNAcentral is "long non-coding RNA (MDOM_LNC018178)". Lineage: Eukaryota; Viridiplantae; Streptophyta; Magnoliopsida; Rosales; Rosaceae. The record is from RNAcentral.
ACCAAAGGUAUAAUGUGUCCUGGAAGCAAAAACUGUCUAUGCGGAUCAGCCAACUUGAAGAAAUAAACUGUGCUUGCUCAGAAGGAACUAGUUGUUCUACCUUAUUCCGUUGGAAAUAUAUGGAUGUUAGCUUUAAGAGGAAUUUUACGGAUUGUGAUUUCAAGUUUUCUAGACGAUGUUUUGAUGAUUUUCGUACAGGACGCUAGUCAGCCAAGUCUACUCGGAAAUCGUAAAGUCUGUUGGGAUAAUUCAGUUGAAGCCCAAAGCCCAAGAUUGAAUGUGUUCAGCUAACUUUAAUCCUCUUUCAAAUGGGUCUGAAGUAAUUACUUGGGAAGUUUACUCGCCACAUCAUCAAUCGUGUAACACAAAUGAUGAAAGGAUAUCACAGGAACUAAUUAUGAUAGGAUUUGUCUAUUAUAUAAAGUAGAGGUUUUUGGUGUUGGAAAUAUGCCCUGAAAGUCAAUCUUUGGAAGAAAUCUUUCAGGACAAAUAUAUGGAUGUAUGGAUGAAUCUUAUACAUCAAAUGGCAAAGACAUGAAUUAGGACUAUCUCAAUAAACGAUAUAUGUCCUAAAUAGUGUAUCCAUGGACAAUGGAUCGAUUGAAGAAGUAAUCUAAUGAUGUUAGACUACAGAGACCUUCUUCAUAUAACCAGAUGUCCAAAAAGGUUCCUGAUCGUUGGAUUGUCGGAGGGAUACUGACAAUGCGGAGACCGGUACAUACUAUGUCUGCUUCAAUUGGAAGGAUGGAAAGUCUCAUCCCAUUCGUGUUGUGACACUAAGACAAGUAUGUAGGUGCUCAUUAAGGGAAUGAGUUCACUGAACACAAUCAAACGGGAGUACUUGCAUGGAGGUCUACUCACAUGUCAAGCAAGUAACUCUAAUGGUUGGAAAGAUGUAAGUAAUCCUUAGACCUGAGGCAUCGUCGUUGUCUUGUGGUUAAGUACUUAAUCUUUUGAUUAUGUCAAAGUCUCCCCAUUCGAGGGUGUCCACGGCAUAAUUGGGGUUAAGCCACUUAGUCAUGAAGGCAAGUGUAUGCGCAACAAGGAAUCUCUAAUCCUCGAUAAGAGAGGAAGAAUACUCUAAGAUAUGAUUCGGGAAUCUUCGGCCGAAGUAUCGAGCGUAAUAAAGGAAAGCGUUCCUAUACGACUCAAUUGGAUCAUAUAAGAAGGAAUAAUCACAUUAGGGGUUUGACAUGAUAUAUAUCCAUACCCUAAUGAUGUGAUUGAGAGUAUUGUAUUAGAGAAUGAUUGAAUUACAUUGUAAUUCCAACUGACUAGGUUCUCCGAAUAAACUUCUACAUUAGCUUGGGUAGCUAUGACAUAUGGUUAGAUGUCACUCAUAGCUUGUGAGUUCUUCUAGAUGAUUAAAUGUAGUCGUCAAAGAAGAAAGGUGAAUUAAAAUGAAGUUUUAAUUCACUAAGUGAUUGAAUUAAAUAUGAGCAAUUGGAUUGAUGCCAAUCACCUCACUGCCUUGCUAAUUAGAACCUAAAAGGUUGUUCACCAAUACACUAUUGUAGUGAGUAACUAAUGGAUGAUGGAAACAAUUAAUUGGAUUAAUUAUGUGUUGUGAUUAAUUUAGAAAAGUCUAAAGAAAUCAUAAAAGCGAUAAAGAUCGUUUUGGGCUUAAAGAAACGUUCGGGUUUAAUUAGGCCCAUUGGGCCUAAACCCAUUGGGCUUUUAUAAAAGCAUUGGAUGACUUGAAAUAAUAAAAGCCCAAAGCCCAAAAACAACACAAAGGGGCCGGCCACUUUAGGUGAAGAAAGGAGAGAUAUUUAGUCAAGUGUUGACUAGGUUUCUUUUGUCUAUAUAAGGAACUUUAUAAGAUAUUGUUCAUUAGGGUUUUUUGUGAGUUUUGAACAACAAAAGAGGCAAAAGAAAAUAGCUCUCUUGAACCACAAAAGCCGGCCACCAAAGGGGAGUUUUUACUAACAUCUCUUACACCCUUUUGGUUAUUCCUUCAUCCUUCUCACUACACUAGUGGGUGAGGAUCUUUAGAGGUUUCCUACUUUGGGAACUUGAAGAGAACCUAGGAGCACUCAUUGUAACAAAGUGGAGGAGGCAAGGAGGGAAGCUAGGCUCAAGGAUUUCAAGGAGCAAAGGCCUUGGAGGUGGUCCAUCCUUGGUCUUAAGUCUAGAUCAAGAGGUAUAAGACUAACCUUCACUUUGUUCUUGAUUCUAAAAAUUGUUUUGAUGCAUUAUAUAUAAACCUAUGAACCUUGAAGGGGAUUUGCAUGACUAUAGCUUUGAUAAUAUGUUAUAAAUGCUUCCGCUGCUUUCGUAUAUUAAAUUUUGAUUUGUAUAUGCAUGAUAGUCAUUAUGAUGAAAUCCCAUUCUAGAAUCUCAUAAUUUUCCCUUCAAGUGGUAUCAGAGCCAAUGGUUUAUGUAUAAUGUGUCCUUUUGGAUUUUAUGCAUAUGGGUAUUAAUGUUAUCUAUGACAUAUUUAUUUUCAUUCAAAGUAUGUUUAUCUUUUGUUUUUCAAUAGUUGAAAAAUGUUAGUCAAAAGUUGAGAAAGAUAUGUUUGCAAAAGUGUUUUGUAUACAUGAAUGAAAAAUGAGUUUAGAACUAGUUAGACAUAUUAUUUCUUCAUUUAAAAGUAUGUUUGUCUUUUGUUUUUCAAUGGUUGAAAAAUGUAAAUCAAGAGUUGAAAAAGAUAUGCAUGUAAAAGUUGUUUUGUAUGCAUGAAUGAAGAAUAAGUCAUGAACAAAAUUUGGGGUUUUGUUCAAAAGGGUAGGCACGGUUUUGGGGGUGGUUUUGGGUUGUGUUUGUGUUUUAUUGUAAACCACUCACACAUCCUAUUAAAGCUUAAAAGAAGUGUUCUUGUCACUUUUGUUUUUGGGUUUGAAAAAUCACCAAGAAUAUAUAAAUCUUGAAAUUGUGCUCAUGGUUUUGUUCUUGGUGUUCAUGGUUUGGUUUUGGGUGAAAAUGGUUUUAAUUGAUUUUCAUGCAUGGUUUUAUGGUUUUGGAUGAUGUUCUUACCAUCCAUAACCAUUUUAAAAACUUAUAAAACCCUAGACUUGACUAGGAGGAUUUCCAUCACCCAUCUCACCUAAGUUUUAAUGGCAAAAACCAAGUGACAAGUAAAAUUUAAUUUUUCUUACAUAAUGUGGCUUUUAAUGCAUGUUGUGUAAGAUUGUGUAAGACAACUCCCAUCCCCUUAAUGUGGCCGGCCUCCCUAGUGGAUUUAUCCACUUGUGGGGCUAUUUUGUAAUCUUUAAAAAGUUGAUAUUUACUUUGAAAUAUUUACGGUUUUACCCCUAACUUUUCAUAUUUACAUUUAGGCCCCUACUAACUAGAAAGUUAAAAUAUUUGAUUUUAAUUUUGUUAGUUGUUUAAACUCAUAAUUAUAUUAUGCCCAUAUGCACUAAAUCUAAAUGUUUAUGUUGCAUUCCAUUAUGAUUAUUUAAAUGUGUUUAAGUAGUUAUAAAAUGGAUGACUUUGGACUUAUACCUUAAAUGAUAAUUGAGCUAUAUGAUAAGGCGCUAAAAUCAAUUGUUUGAACCUUGGGAAUGUGUUUUAAUUACUGUUUAAUUGGACCUUGUCACGUUUGACGUUAAUCUUUCUCUCCCCUUUUAGUAUAUGUAAUUUAUAGGAAUUUGUACAAAUCGGUUUGUAAUUCUUAUUACUUCUUAAUCUCUAUUCGUUAGUGGAUUCCCUCUAGUGCUAGACUAGAGUUUCUUUAACUAUUGGUAAGGAGACAUAACUAAAAGAGGGUUUUGACAUGAGAUUAAAGAUUAAAAGGGUCCAAUGCCCAAAUUAGCAAUGUAUGAUUGUCUUUCAUUUCUAAUGGCUCAAUUAAAAUGGUUUUAAUUGGAUUGAUAAGCACGUAAUUAAAUUGACACAACCUCCCCGAGUUUAUAUUCAACAAUGAUGGCUCGUUGUUGCAAUAACCUAAUAAGUCCAUAGUCAUCCAAGAGCCUAAGAUAACUAUAAAGUCCAAUUUCAAAGGAAUGCAAAAACCAUAGUAGUAGUAGUUACUUCCAAUAUUUGAAAAAUUUGUUUUUGAUAUUGAUUUGUUUUUCUCAAAACAAAUAGUGGGAGUAUCAUACGCUACUAGACUAUAAUGAAUACAAUUAGUAGUUAUAUAAAUAUCUCCAAUAUUUUGAAAAAUGUUUUGAUAUUGAUUUGUUUUAUGAAAACGAAUAGUGGGGAUAUUGUAUGCUACUAAAUUCAUUAACUUUGGACUAGUAGUUAUAAUAGGACAAUUUAUUUGAUUGUGAUUAAAUAAAUAAAAUUGAUGAGACCUUAAAAUCCCUCAACCAAACAAUAUUAAGUUGUAAGCGUAAAAGUGCUUAGAACACUUUUUCGUGGCCUUCCACCGUGGUAGGCUCCAAGCGUUUAUGACUUGUACACCGCCUUCACCCUAUCAUGGGGAAGUGACAAAGUGCAUGCUUAUAUUCAGGAGGAGUUUAUUUAAAACAUUUGAUGAGGUUAAGGUAGGCAACGAGUAUGGCCAACAUCGUAUCAUCGUGAGGUCAUGCUUGAACCCCUAGCUGAACCGGCAUGGUGGGAAAGAACUUAACUAAGAAACAUAAUGCCAACAUCGUAUCAUCGUGAGGUAUUAUUUUCUAGAGGCCAAAAAGAUGGGUAAUCACAAGAGGUUGUUGUGAAUGGGUACUUGUACCCUCUCAUUAUUAUUGUUGCUAGCGGACAUCGUAUCAUCGUGAGGUGGGCUUGGUAAUAGUGAGCCUCCCAUAACCCGCUAGGAGCUUGCUUUGAAAUCUCCCGGAUUCCAUUAUGGGGGAUAUGGAAUUUGCCAAAAAUGGUGGGUGGUGUCAUUCGGUUUAAAGACCCAAAUCGUUUGACUUAAACAACAAUCAAUCUAAUUAUUUUAUUUGUUUAUGUAUAUAGAUAUGGUUGGAAGCACACUCGCGAAAAUACUCGACAAACAUUGCCUAGAGGGGCACAAUUUCCCAUCAUGGUAUCGUAAUGUCAAGAUUCUCCUAACCUUGGAGAAAUUGUUUACGUACUAGACAAGGCUCCACCUCACAUACCUCUUGGCCCUGACGCCACUGAGGAUGAACGUGCUAAGUAUGACAAGCACGUUGAGGACGAUACACAAGCCAAGUGCUAUCUGUUGGCUUCCAUGAAUGAGGAGCUACAGAGACAGCACGAGGGCAUGGACAGUGCAUCUUCCAUAAUACUCCAUCUUACGGAGUUAUAUGGUGAAGGGACGCGCAACCGUCGCUUUAGCACUGUCUGUGAACUUGUGAAGACCAAGAUGGUCAAGGGGGCUCCAGUGCAUCAACAUGUACUGAAGAUGAUAGGAUUCAUUGAACAAUUGGAGAACCUUGGUACUCCACUUGACGGGGAAUUAGCCCAGGACUUCAUAUUGGCUUCUCUUUCUGAUUCAUUUCUCGCAGUUCGUAAUGAACUACAACAUGAAUAAGAUGGAUAUAUAGUCUCUCUCCGAGUUACUAAACAUGUUAGUAACCACCGAGAAGACUAUGAAGAAAGAGAACGUUGUAGGGACUUGCAGCUGCAGUAGCCUACAAUAAGCCAUCCUCUUCCAAGGCCAAGCCGCAAGGCAAAGGCAAAGGGAAGGAGAAGAAGUCCCCCACUCCUAAGCCGAAAAGGAGGAGUGAGGAAAAGAAGGAACAAUGGAGCCCAAAGGGGAAAGGAGGGGGCAUUUGGAUGAGGGAAUUGCAGGUAUUACCUUGCAAGUCUUUAAAGUUACACAAAUAUGGUUAUUAUUUCAAUCUUCUAAUUUCUAAAGCUAAUCACUUGUAUAAUUGUAUAUAGGUGGAGAAGCCAAGUAGAACAAGCAAGAAAAUGUGGUGAAGGGUUCGGCCACUAUGUUUUUUGCUAACUACUUAGGAAGUUUUAGGCAUUUAAAGAUUCUUUUAAACUUUCUUAUUUUGUUAAGAACUACUUCAUUUGAUGGAAGGCCACUAUUAGUGCCUAAAUGUAUGGCAUUUAUGUUAGUCUCUAAAUGUAUAGAGCUAAUACCUUUUGUAUUAAACAUUAUGAAUGUUUGAACUAAUCAUAUUAAUGUAAUGUGAAGUAUGCCUUUUUUUUUAAUAUACUAUUUCCUUAAAGUAGUGUUAUGAAUUGAAAAUUGUCUUGAUGUAUCCUAGAUGAGAUACAAGAGUUAUAUCACUUAAUUGUAAUGUGAUAAACCAAACUUUAGAUUUAUCAAUUAUGGAUAGAUCUCACAUGUAGGACAUAAAAGGAUACAAUGAAUCUUUAGAUUUGGUUCCAUUUGUCUACUUAUGAGUUCUAUAUGAAUUGAAAUUGACAAAAGUCCUUUCUUGAAGAAAAGGAAGAUCACACAUUACAAUGAUAUAAGUAAUAAGAAAAACGUUUCUUAUAAGGUUAUCACUUGAAACACAAUGAUCAAGAUCACUCUUGAUUCAAUUAAUAGUUUUGAACAAUUAAUUGGGCAUUCUUAAAAAUUGUUUUAAAAUGUAAAAUUGUGUUAGUGAUUAAACCAAGAAAGAAGUGUCUAAAUCUAUAAAAGACUUUAGUUUAAAAACAAACAUUAUUUAAACUUUGACUUAGUUGAAACAAAUUAAAUAAACAAAUAAAAUUAAAAUAACAAGACAUUAAACUUAGUGAAGAUUGAAACAAAUAAGCUUGAAAUGUUUCAAAGCUACUACACAAUGUCUUCUACCAAUAUAAUCCACUUUUAUACAUUUUGAAUGUAUGAAAUGAUUUCUCAUUAAAGUCAUGAGAAAUAGUGGGGUGAAAAAUGGAUAUAAACUUGAAUGUGAUUGGUUUAUAGUUGUCUAAAGAAUAAUAGUACUUGACUAUUAUUAAGAGUUUGUAAUUUUAAUUGUUAAAAGGACUCAAGCUCUUCAAACGUUAAAAAUCUAUGUUGUGUAACAUUUAAAGAAUAGUCUUUGAAUGUUGGUUUCGUCAACCUAGCAUAAAAUGGUUAUAUGUUGGGAGUUGUCCAUCAUUCUCUUUUAUGAGAACAUGCUAAUAACAAAGCAUAUGGACAAGUUGAUGAAACAAAAGGGAAUAAGUUUCAAAAUGAGUCACAACAUAUGGUUUAACAACUAGACAAUCCAAAUUCAACAUCUCAUGUAACGAUAUUGCUCUAUGUAGUUUUGAUAGAGAAUUAUAUCAACCACCUAGAAGGAAUGGUUGAGAAUCUAUAUCCUUAGUAGGAGCCAUGCUUCCACUAAAGACUUAGAUAAUUCUUAUAUGACUACAUUAAAAGUCUUAGUAUGACUAAAACUUGUAGUAUGGUGUAUGACAUCGUAUAAUUAAAUGAAUAGACUUGAUAAAACAAGUCACAUAUACAAAAGGAAUUACUUUAAAAGGAAUUCUUUUUAUGUGAUUCGUUUAAUAACUUGUGUUAGCUAGGGUUGUUGAUGGUCUCAAAAUUGUUGAGACAUCAUCAAUAAGCUAAUGGAUCUCAAUGGAUCCAAGACAAGUUAAUGGGAGCAACACGCAUUCAAAUCAAGAAAAUAUAAGUGUUAUUUUUGAAUGAAUGCUAAGUUACAACAAGGCCAGUGGGAGUGAUGUCAUAAUUUGAGCAACAAGAUAUGAAUAAAGUCUAUUUGAUAGACUUGAUGAAACAUAGAUGUUACUCGAAAUGACAAAACUUGACACGGUCAAUUUUGAAAUAUAGACUUGAAAUUAGCAAGGCUAUCUCAAUAAUGUUAUAUGGGAAUUAAAUCUCAAAUGUUGAAGAUUUAAGAAAGCAUUUUCCUAUUUGAUAAGAAAUCACUUUCACAACCCUUAUAAUGAAUGUGUCAUAAAAUCACAAAAGGGACACAUGUGUUGACUUGUGAAGUAGAUAUCCAAAGGUGAAGAAACCACUGAGUUUAUCACUUUAAGAUAUUACUAUAUCCCAGGAUCAGAACCAAAGCAACUGAUAGAGUAUUAUUGCCUUUGAGAAAGAAACAUCAGAGUGGGACUCUGGAAGCGUGCAUUCACUUAGGUUGUUAACCAAAGUGAAAAUAAGCCAUUUUAACAAAUGGAACUUCAUGAUGGAUGAAGUACUAAUCAUAUGAAUGAAUUGUUAGUAUUGUACUACAAUGGUCUCAAGCUUGGAGCAAAGUUUGUAUAAAGUAUACAAACGAAAUAUAUGUCGAUAUAUAGUUUUAGAAACUGCUUCAAAAGGUGUAUUGAAUGAAAGGGGUUCUUUUAGAACCCAUGAUUGAAUCCAAACCAUAAGGUCGUUAGUAGAGUACUACGACGUAAUGGGGCGAUAGCUCAAGCCAUGGAAUCAAGGUCUCAUCAAAGUAUUCGAACACAAUAAAGAGACAUCAUCUAAUGUUUUGGAAACAUUAGAUAAGUAAAUCCCUUUUGAAUAAUAAAAGGGAUUAAUACAUAACCAAGUUAACCUACGAGCAUAAACUCUCUCAACAAGAUGUAUAAGAUACACUAGGGAUUGACUUUAGUGCAAGUGGGAGAUUGUUGGAAAUAUGCCCUGAAAGUCAAUCUUUGGAAGAAAUCUUUCAGGACAAAUAUAUGGAUGUAUGGAUGAAUCUUAUACAUCAAAUGGCAAAGACACGAAUUAGGACUAUCUCAAUAAACGAUAUAUGUCCUAAAUAGUGUAUCCAUGGACAAUGGAUCGAUUGAAGAAGUAAUCUAAUGAUGUUAGACUACAGAGACCUUCUUCAUAUAACCAGAUGUCCAAAAAGGUUCCUGAUCGUUGGAUUGUCGGAGGGAUACUGACAAUGCGGAGACCGGUACAUACUAUGUCUGCUUCAAUUGGAAGGAUGGAAAGUCUCAUCCCAUUCGUGUUGUGACACUAAGACAAGUAUGUAGGUGCUCAUUAAGGGAAUGAGUUCAUUGAACACAAUCAAACGGGAGUACUUGCAUGGAGGUCUACUCACAUGUCAAGCAAGUAACUCUAAUGGUUGGAAAGAUGUAAGUAAUC